AGGCCUUCCCAGCGUUCGAUUUGUACGAUUUGGCUUGUAGAGGAUUUCUCUGUAAAAUGGGAACUGUGUUGUGAAGUUGAAACGCCCAGAUCGGUGGUGGACAUUGAGAACCUGCGUUUCAAAGUGAGCACGCUGUUAUGUUUCAGGUAUACUUCAUUGCAGACAUGGAAUCAUCUUAAAUCUGUGACAUGAUAAAUUUGGCAUUUCAAAGCAUGUAGAUAUGAAGCUUUUCUUGCAUCUGGAAUACAGAUCAUUUAUUCACAAGGUGGUGGAUGUAACAUGAACAAUCACUGGUUCCAAACACUUACAUCCAGAAAGCUUUUGAAGAACUGCCUGUUUAAUGGACUAUGAACAUCUUGGUUAGGUUUUGCUUCCUGUGCAACAAGUACUUGAACUGCUAAUGGACCGGUUUCUUCCUUGGUGUACCC
RNAcentral lists this long non-coding RNA (428 nucleotides) under Musa acuminata (dwarf banana). RNAcentral describes it as "long non-coding RNA (MACU_LNC006003)". Lineage: Eukaryota; Viridiplantae; Streptophyta; Magnoliopsida; Zingiberales; Musaceae. The record is from RNAcentral.